RNAcentral lists this ribosomal RNA (460 nucleotides) under uncultured bacterium. Its description in RNAcentral is "partial 16S ribosomal RNA". It matches the Rfam family "Bacterial small subunit ribosomal RNA", at positions 338 to 795 of the family's 1533-position model. The record is from RNAcentral.
CCUACGGGUGGCAGCAGUGAGGAAUAUUGGUCAAUGGCCGUAAGGCUGAACCAGCCAAGUAGCGUGAGGGAAGAAUGCCCUAUGGGUUGUAAACCUCUUUUGUGAGGGGAUAAAGGUGUCCACGUGUGGAUGUUUGCAGGUACCGCAUGAAUAAGGACCGGCUAAUUCCGUGCCAGCAGUCGCGGUAAUACGGAAGGUCCGGGCGUUAUCCGGAUUUAUUGGGUUUAAAGGGAGCGUAGGCCGGUCUUUAAGCGUGCCGUGAAAUUUUGUGGCUCAACCAUGGGAGGGCGGCGGGAACUGGAGACCGUGAGUGGGCGGAAGGCAGGCGGAAUGCGUGGUGUAGCGGUGAAAUGCUUAGAUAUCACGAAGAACCCCGAUUGCGAAGGCAGCCUGCCGCAGCGUCACUGACGCUGAAGCUCGAAAGCGCGGGUAUCGAACAGGAUUAGAUACCCCGGUAGUC